GAGAACUCGGGUGAAGGAACUAGGCAAAAUGGUACCGUAACUUCGGGAGAAGGUACGCUCUCGACGGUGAAGUCCCUCGCGGAUGGAGCUAUUGAGAGUCGCAGAUACCAGGUGGCUGCAACUGUUUAUUAAAAACACAGCACUGUGCAAAAUCGUAAGAUGACGUAUACGGUGUGACGCCUGCCCGGUGCCGGAAGGUUAAUUGAUGGGGUUAGACUUCGGUCGAAGCUCUUGAUCGAAGCCCCGGUAAACGGCGGCCGUAACUAUAACGGUCCUAAGGUAGCGAAAUUCCUUGUCGGGUAAGUUCCGACCUGCACGAAUGGCGUAAUGAUGGCCACGCUGUCUCCACCCGAGACUCAGUGAAAUUGAAAUCGCUGUGAAGAUGCAGUGUACCCGCGGCUAGACGGAAAGACCCCGUGAACCUUUACUACAGCUUGGCACUGAACAUUGACCCUACAUGUGUAGGAUAGGUGGGAGGCUUUGAAGCACGUACGCCAGUAUGUGUGGAGCCGUCCUUGAAAUACCACCCUUGUAGUGUUGAUGUUCUAACGUCGACCCCUAAUCGGGGUUGCGGACAGUGCCUGGUGGGUAGUUUGACUGGGGCGGUCUCCUCCCAAAGAGUAACGGAGGAGCACGAAGGUGGGCUAAUCACGGUUGGACAUCGUGAGGUUAGUGCAAUGGCAUAAGCCCGCUUGACUGCGAGAAUGACAAUUCGAGCAGGUGCGAAAGCAGGUCAUAGUGAUCCGGUGGUUCUGAAUGGAAGGGCCAUCGCUCAACGGAUAAAAGGUACUCCGGGGAUAACAGGCUGAUACCGCCCAAGAGUUCAUAUCGACGGCGGUGUUUGGCACCUCGAUGUCGGCUCAUCACAUCCUGGGGCUGAAGUCGGUCCCAAGGGUAUGGCUGUUCGCCAUUUAAAGUGGUACGCGAGCUGGGUUUAGAACGUCGUGAGACAGUUCGGUCCCUAUCUGCCGUGGGCGUUGGAAGAUUGAAGGGGGCUGCUCCUAGUACGAGAGGACCGGAGUGGACGAACCUCUGGUGUUCGGGUUGUGUCGCCAGACGCAUUGCCCGGUAGCUAAGUUCGGAAUCGAUAACCGCUGAAAGCAUCUAAGCGGGAAGCGAGCCCUGAGAUGAGUCUUCCCUGAUACUUUAAGUAUCCUAAAGGGUUGUCGGAGACUACGACGUUGAUAGGUCAGGUGUGUAAGUGCUGUGAGGCAUUGAGCUAACUGAUACUAAUUGCCCGUGAGGCUUAACCAUACAACACCCAAGGGGUUU
RNAcentral lists this ribosomal RNA (1272 nucleotides) under Vibrio parahaemolyticus. RNAcentral's name for it is "partial 23S ribosomal RNA". It matches the Rfam family "Bacterial large subunit ribosomal RNA", at positions 1694 to 2925 of the family's 2925-position model. The record is from RNAcentral. Lineage: Bacteria; Pseudomonadati; Pseudomonadota; Gammaproteobacteria; Vibrionales; Vibrionaceae.